Molecule: non-coding RNA, 1434 nt
Organism: Misgurnus anguillicaudatus (oriental weatherfish)
Lineage: Eukaryota; Metazoa; Chordata; Actinopteri; Cypriniformes; Cobitidae
Source: RefSeq, a predicted model, not a curated record
UUUCAUUUAUUGCUCAAUUUUAAUAGCCCAAAGAACACAGUAUAUAAUAAAAAAUUCCCCCACUGACUAUUAAAUGCGCUACACCCAGUCCAGUAGGUGGCAGUAAUGACCCUUCAGUUGCCAACCGCCACUCAGUUUAGAAGCGCAGAAGAUUAGAACGUUAAGUUUGGGCGCGAAAGGACAACGACAGUGCCAGCGGGGUUUUAGAGGCCCAUUAGAGUGAUUUCCUGCGUUCUCUCACACAUGGUCAGCGAAUGGAUUAUCCAGUCACAGUACAUAAUGAAAGACUUGCCGAAGUUAGAAGAAGCUGAGUGAAUCUUCAGAGUGAUUCUUCAGAGAGAAGAUGUUAUGAUGUCUCACAAGAACCAAUGAAAUCUGGGAGACCUCAGAGUAUGUCCUUGCUGUGACUGUGCAAAAACAGCUAUGUUAUGCCCGUGAAUGGAUUGGUGUAUAAAAGGGCCUGCAGUGUUCAACAGUGUCUCUGUUUAAUGUGAAGUAAAUCCAUCACAUUUGCAUCAGAGGAGGAGCUUCAGUUACUGAAUAGUCCUAAACAAUGAACUGUGGUAAUGUUUCAAUUUCUAAAUGUUUCAAGAAGUACAGUUGUGUCUUUGAGUUUUGUAUGGUACCUGUAUCUGGUCAUUAAAAAUUUAAUUGAAUUGAAAUUGAAUUGCUUUUCCAAAUUCAUUUUGCUGAUGUAUGUUUAUGUUGUCUUAAUUUUCCAGAGUCCUCUAGUGGCAAUAAUAUUUAUAAUUUUAAUUUGUACUUUUGUAUUUUAUGGCAAAAAAAUUUGAAUCAUACAAUUGUAUUUUAAGAUAUAUAUACGUUUAACUUUGCUCGUGGUAUUUAAUUUCUUGAGUGUGAUGUAUCCUGUGUAAACUGUGUGGGUGUAUUGCAAGUUAGUGACUUUUUGGUUUAAAGUAUGUUAAUUGUAGCCCUACAUGGUCUCUGAUUUAAAAACUAGUCAAAACAGACUUGAUUUAGUAACAUUGAAUCCUGCAGUAGAUAAAGCUUGUUUUUUUAUAUUGCUUCAAUGUUGCUUUAUUGUUAAUUACACUAUUGAAAUGAUGUUCAAUAAACAUUGAUCUUAUAUCCAUCUUGAUUGAUUUUCCAUCAUUGAAAUAACAUUAUUCUAGGCUGCAAACCUGAUGAAAAAUCAAUGAAAAAUGUCAACGUUGUUUCAAUGAUAAUUUGGUUAAUGGCAUCAACAUCAAUUCUAUGUUGAUUCACUGUUGGUCUGCUACCUUAAGUGAUUGAAUUUAUGUUGAAUUAAGAUUGGUUUUGUAACCAUUUAGAUUGAUUUUGCAUCAUUGAAAUAACAUUAUUCCAGGGUGCAAACCUGAUGAAAAAUCAAUGUAAAAUUUCAAUGUUGAUUCAAUGAUAAUUUGGUUGAUGGAUUAACAUCAUUUCAAUGUUGAUUCACUGUUUGUCUGCUAU